RNAcentral lists this ribosomal RNA (292 nucleotides) under uncultured bacterium. RNAcentral describes it as "partial 16S ribosomal RNA". It matches the Rfam family "Bacterial small subunit ribosomal RNA", at positions 505 to 796 of the family's 1533-position model. The record is from RNAcentral.
GUGCCAGCCGCCGCGGUAAUACGGAGGGGGCUAGCGUUGUUCGGAAUUACUGGGCGUAAAGCGCGCGUAGGCGGCUUGACAAGUUGGAGGUGAAAGCCCGGAGCUCAACUUCGGAAUUGCCUUCAAGACUGUCUCGCUCGAGGCAGGGAGAGGAGAGCGGAAUACCCAGUGUAGAGGUGAAAUUCGUAGAUAUUGGGUGGAACACCGGUGGCGAAGGCGGCUCUCUGGCCCUGAUCUGACGCUAAGGCGCGAAAGCGUGGGGAGCAAACAGGAUUAGAAACCCCGGUAGUCC